GCCAGUUGCGUAGGGCCCCACAAAUUACGCAAAGGCCCCGCCUCCCCCUCGUGUCAAAGCGGGUGCCAAUGUUUACAACUUCGAUGAGAGGAUGAAGCGGAACAAUCCUUCUGGUCACGUAAAGAGAGAUAAAAAAACACACCAUGAUAGUUAAUUGCGGGAACAGCAAUCAGACAGUCCAGAUAGACUGGUGUCCAUGCUGAUGCUGAAAAUGCCCAG
This is a long non-coding RNA of Oncorhynchus kisutch (coho salmon), 219 nucleotides long. RefSeq lists it as uncharacterized. The transcript has 2 exons. Lineage: Eukaryota; Metazoa; Chordata; Actinopteri; Salmoniformes; Salmonidae. The record is from RefSeq and is a predicted model, not a curated record.